UACGUAGGGGGCAAGCGUUGUCCGGAAUUAUUGGGCGUAAAGAGCGUGUAGGCGGCCAGAUAAGUCCGCUGUGAAAUCUCGAGGCUCAACCCUGGGAUGCCGGUGGAUACUGUCGGGCUCGAGUCCGGAAGAGGAGUGUGGAAUUCCUGGUGUAGCGGUGAAAUGCGCAGAUAUCAGGAGGAACACCAAUGGCGAAGGCAGCACUCUGGGACGUGACUGACGCUGAGACGCGAAAGCGUGGGGAGCAAACAGG
This 253-nucleotide ribosomal RNA is filed under the name uncultured bacterium. RNAcentral describes it as "partial 16S ribosomal RNA". It matches the Rfam family "Bacterial small subunit ribosomal RNA", at positions 524 to 776 of the family's 1533-position model. The record is from RNAcentral.